Long non-coding RNA from Xyrauchen texanus (razorback sucker), 2006 nucleotides. RefSeq lists it as uncharacterized. The transcript has 3 exons. Lineage: Eukaryota; Metazoa; Chordata; Actinopteri; Cypriniformes; Catostomidae. The record is from RefSeq and is a predicted model, not a curated record.
AUUUGAUAGUUACCCAGCAGCUGUGUGGCUCAUUUUUUUUAUUUGUCUGUAUGAAUAAUUCACAAAAAGAUUACCGAUUGUUUCCAACGCCAAUUGUUGCACAUUAAAGUAUAAAAAUAGAUUUAAUUUCGCUAGCUGAUCACAAACGUUGGCCGGAGUGAGAUCCAAUCAACGCUUGUGUUGUUACCUUGUUGAAUUGAUUUGGCCAAUCACGUUAUUCGUUGAAUCGGCGUCGCGUGACUCGCGUCAGUCUGAAGCCAAAUGAGUCUACAACCCAACCUGGAGAGACCGGUGUGUCUCGGCAAGACAACGUCAAGGUAAACUUUGUUUUACAAUGAUUAUACACCCCUAUAUCUUAAUGCUUUUCAUAUAAGUUGUAUUUAAGACUGCAAGCUAUACUUCGUCGUGAAUAUAUGCGUUGUCGUUGAUGAGAACAGUAGCCACGAAAGAAUGUUGGUAGUGGAGCAAUAAAGCUAGGUCUAACGGUAUGUUGCUUAGGCUAAUCCAAAUCAUUCGGUACAUACACAAUGAACUAAGCAAAGAGUAUUCAAAUACGGGAUAAUUACGGGUAAAUAUUUAAACGGGAAGACAGUAGGAAAUAAUUUGACAGGUAUGUCAAGGUUGGAUUGGUUUAUAGCAAGCUACCUAGGCUACAAGUAAACUAGACUAAUUAUCAGCUAAAAAGAGUGCAAAGCAAAACAAAGAAAUGAUUUCAAAUCAACUUUAUAGUGGUAGUCAUGGAGUUAUAUAAGCCAUUUAUGGUUGAUUGUCACAGUUUAUACAAUGACACAAUUCUGUGCAUGGUAGCUUAUGCUUUUUGCAAGUGCAGUUCCCUCCCACACAUUUAAGGGUUUUGCAUUGGCAGUGCACCAGCUGUAAGACACUCUGUGGUGCUGGGGGCAGUGUCAUCCAGUGCACUACCAGGUAUUCUCCCUCCAUCCUCCAUCCAUGCUGUACCGGCGGGGGUAUGUCAGGUUGUUUUUGCAGACUUCUCCUGUAGAAUGAAAAAUAUGAAAACAUUACUUUGGCCUAUUAACCUACUGUAUCAGUUUAUGUUUCUAUUUUGUUUAUUAUCUUUAUGUUUCUAAUUUUGUUAUCUUUAGAGUGACAUAUUAGCUGUAAACCAUUUUCUCUUUUUCUGUUUCUUGGUCAUGUACCUGUGUAUUGCAGUCUGGUAGUUGGCACGCUGAAUAUGCUGCUGAAGGGAGUCUUGAUUUGGAGGAAGGCUCCUUUCGAGACAUUUCCCAGACUUAAACAUGUGCCACCUUGCCUGGUUGACACUUUUGACAUCUUUUACGUCAUAUGGCCUCUGAGGCAACAAGGUCUCUCCCUCGGAUAUGGAUGAGAACCCUCUCAUCCAUCUUGUCCUCUGCCGCAAAAAGCAAGUUACCUGCUGCAUCUAGCUGGGAGUAGAUGAGAUGCUCUCCUUUGUUCGGGGCCAUCAUCCAAUGCAGAGCGCAGAAUACGGACCUUGGAGACACUCAUCAUUGAACGGCAGUGGUUGGGCUUCACCUACAUAACAGAACAGACACGGACAGGACAACAUCAUAUCUCUCCACACCCAAAUGACUACAGAGGUGAUCGCUGACAAUCAUCACAUCAACAGCACCAUGAAUGGAGCAGGUCAAGAUCACGGAGUUGCUUAGUAUCCACAUCACAGAUGACCCAUCUUGAUCUAUCGACACCACCAACAGAACCUGGCCAAGAAAGUCCAAAAACCUCUGCACUUCCUCCCACAGUUGAGGAAGGCUCAUCUCCCACAAAUCCAUCCUCUUAACUUUCUAUAGGGGAAUCAUAGAGAGCCUCUUCCUUCCACCCCCACCCUCCAAUAACCUAAGGGCAGCUGAUUGACUCUUGCACAAAUACACUGGUAGUUUACACUAUGAUGCUGCUACAUUGGUUUCUUUUUUUAUUUUUAAAUUUGCUAUGAACAUUUGACCCCACUUACACACAUAUUGCACUGCCUUUUGCUACUUGUCAUGUCAUCCACUUGCACUGAAAUACUA